CCGGGGCUGCUCGGCGGCCAGGCGUGGUGGCUGCUGCUGCCGGCCGGUGCCGUGGGCGCCCUGUUCGUCCGCCCCGGGC
This 79-nucleotide transfer RNA is filed under the name Streptomyces echinoruber. RNAcentral's name for it is "tRNA-Ser". Lineage: Bacteria; Bacillati; Actinomycetota; Actinomycetes; Kitasatosporales; Streptomycetaceae. The record is from RNAcentral.